RNAcentral lists this ribosomal RNA (440 nucleotides) under uncultured bacterium. Its description in RNAcentral is "partial 16S ribosomal RNA". It matches the Rfam family "Bacterial small subunit ribosomal RNA", at positions 338 to 795 of the family's 1533-position model. The record is from RNAcentral.
CCUACGGGAGGCAGCAGUGGGGAAUAUUGCACAAUGGGGGAAACCCUGAUGCAGCGACGCCGCGUGAAGGAAGAAGUAUUUCGGUAUGUAAACUUCUAUCAGCAGGGAAGAAAAUGACGGUACCUGACUAAGAAGCACCGGCUAACUACGUGCCAGCAGCCGCGGUAAUACGGAGGGGGCAAGCGUUAUCCGGAUUUACUGGGGGUAAAGGGGGCGUAGGCGGGUUAGCAAGUCAGAAGUGAAAGCCCGGGGCUUAACCCCGGGACUGCUUUUGAAACUGUUGAACUAGAGUGCAGGAGAGGUAAGUGGAAUUCCUGGUGUAGCGGUGAAAUGCGUAGAUAUUAGGAGGAACACCAGUGGCGAAGGCGGCUUGCUGGACUGUAAAUGACGCUGAGGCGCGAAAGCGUGGGGAGCAAACAGGAUUAGAUACCCGAGUAGUC